GAUGAACGCUGGCGGCGUGCUUAACACAUGCAAGUCGAACGAUGAUCCGGUGCUUGCGCCGGGGAUUAGUGGCGAACGGGUGAGUAACACGUGAGUAACCUGCCCUUGACUCUGGGAUAAGCCUGGGAAACUGGGUCUAAUACCGGAUAUGACUCCUCAUCGCAUGGUGGGGGGUGGAAAGCUUUUGUGGUUUUGGAUGGACUCGCGGCCUAUCAGCUUGUUGGUGAGGUAAUGGCUCACCAAGGCGACGACGGGUAGCCGGCCUGAGAGGGUGACCGGCCACACUGGGACUGAGACACGGCCCAGACUCCUACGGGAGGCAGCAGUGGGGAAUAUUGCACAAUGGGCGGAAGCCUGAUGCAGCGACGCCGCGUGAGGGAUGACGGCCUUCGGGUUGUAAACCUCUUUCAGUAGGGAAGAAGCGAAAGUGACGGUACCUGCAGAAGAAGCGCCGGCUAACUACGUGCCAGCAGCCGCGGUAAUACGUAGGGCGCAAGCGUUAUCCGGAAUUAUUGGGCGUAAAGAGCUCGUAGGCGGUUUGUCGCGUCUGCCGUGAAAGUCCGGGGCUCAACUC
This 574-nucleotide ribosomal RNA is filed under the name Arthrobacter sp. SC2T. RNAcentral describes it as "bacterial SSU rRNA". It matches the Rfam family "Bacterial small subunit ribosomal RNA", at positions 28 to 615 of the family's 1533-position model. Lineage: Bacteria; Bacillati; Actinomycetota; Actinomycetes; Micrococcales; Micrococcaceae. The record is from RNAcentral.